GGAGCUUGCUCCUCUGACGUUAGCGGCGGACGGGUGAGUAACACGUGGAUAACCUACCUAUAAGACUGGGAUAACUUCGGGAAACCGGAGCUAAUACCGGAUAAUAUAUUGAACCGCAUGGUUCAAUAGUGAAAGACGGUUUUGCUGUCACUUAUAGAUGGAUCCGCGCCGCAUUAGCUAGUUGGUAAGGUAACGGCUUACCAAGGCAACGAUGCGCAGCCGACCUGAGAGGGUGAUCGGCCACACUGGAACUGAGACACGGUCCAGACUCCUACGGGAGGCAGCAGUAGGGAAUCUUCCGCAAUGGGCGAAAGCUUGACGGAGCAACGCCGCGUGAGUGAUGAAGGUCUUCGGAUCGUAAAACUCUGUUAUUAGGGAAGAACAAAUGUGUAAGUAACUAUGCACGUCUUGACGGUACCUAAUCAGAAAGCCACGGCUAACUACGUGCCAGCAGCCGCGGUAAUACGUAGGUGGCAAGCGUUAUCCGGAAUUAUUGGGCGUAAAGCGCGCGUAGGCGGUUUUUUAAGUCUGAUGUGAAAGCCCACGGCUCAACCGUGGAGGGUCAUUGGAAACUGGAAAACUUGAGUGCAGAAGAGGAAAGUGGAAUUCCAUGUGUAGCGGUGAAAUGCGCAGAGAUAUGGAGGAACACCAGUGGCGAAGGCGACUUUCUGGUCUGUAACUGACGCUGAUGUGCGAAAGCGUGGGGAUCAAACAGGAUUAGAUACCCUGGUAGUCCACGCCGUAAACGAUGAGUGCUAAGUGUUAGGGGGUUUCCGCCCCUUAGUGCUGCAGCUAACGCAUUAAGCACUCCGCCUGGGGAGUACGACCGCAAGGUUG
Molecule: ribosomal RNA, 837 nt
Filed under: uncultured Staphylococcus sp.
Lineage: Bacteria; Bacillati; Bacillota; Bacilli; Caryophanales; Staphylococcaceae
Description: bacterial SSU rRNA
Rfam family: Bacterial small subunit ribosomal RNA
Source: RNAcentral